AGUAGAAUGGCUGAGGGAUAGGCGAUAGAUUGUAAAUCUAUAUAGGAGAUAAAAAUCUCUUCUGCUA
Molecule: transfer RNA, 67 nt
Filed under: Eupolyphaga sp. NS-2016
Lineage: Eukaryota; Metazoa; Arthropoda; Insecta; Blattodea; Corydiidae
Description: tRNA-Tyr
Rfam family: tRNA
About the family: Transfer RNA (tRNA) molecules are approximately 80 nucleotides in length. Their secondary structure includes four short double-helical elements and three loops (D, anti-codon, and T loops).
Source: RNAcentral